ACCUACGGGGGGCAGCAGUGGGGAAUAUUGCACAAUGGGGGAAACCCUGAUGCAGCAACGCCGCGUGAAGGAAGACGGUUUUCGGAUUGUAAACUUCUGUUCUUAGUGAAGAAGAAUGACGGUAGCUAAGGAGCAAGCCACGGCUAACUACGUGCCAGCAGCCGCGGUAAUACGUAUGGGGCAAGCGUUAUCCGGAUUUACUGGGUGUAAAGGGAGCGUAGGCGGCAGGGCAAGCCUGAUGUGAAAGCCCGGGGCUCAACCCCGGGACUGCAUUGGGAACUGCCCCGCUCGAGUGCCGGAGGGGG
RNAcentral lists this ribosomal RNA (305 nucleotides) under uncultured bacterium. RNAcentral's name for it is "bacterial SSU rRNA". It matches the Rfam family "Bacterial small subunit ribosomal RNA", at positions 337 to 658 of the family's 1533-position model. The record is from RNAcentral.